RNAcentral lists this ribosomal RNA (830 nucleotides) under uncultured bacterium. RNAcentral describes it as "bacterial SSU rRNA". It matches the Rfam family "Bacterial small subunit ribosomal RNA", at positions 60 to 900 of the family's 1533-position model. The record is from RNAcentral.
AGUCGACGAUGAAGCUUAAUGAUCUCUUCGGAGUGACCUUAAGUGGAUUAGUGGCGGACGGGUGAGUAACGCGUGAGUAACCUGCCUUGCACAAGGGGAUAGCCGUUGGAAACGACGAAUAAUACCCUAUGAUAUGAUAGUCUCGCAUGAGAUUAUCAUCAAAGAUUUAUCGGUGUAAGAUGGACUCGCGUCUGAUUAGCUAGUUGGUGGGGUAACAGCCUACCAAGGCAACGAUCAGUAGCCGGCUUGAGAGAGUGUACGGCCACAUUGGGACUGAGACACGGUCCAGACUCCUACGGGAGGCAGCAGUGGGGAAUUUUGCACAAUGGGGGAAACCCUGAUGCAGCGACGCCGCGUGAUUUAGAAGGCCUUCGGGUUGUAAAAAUCUUUUGUAUGGGAAGAAAAUGACAGUACCAUACGAAUAAGGACCGGCUAAUUACGUGCCAGCAGCCGCGGUAAUACGUAAGGUCCGAGCGUUGUCCGGAAUCAUUGGGCGUAAAGGGUACGUAGGCGGAUAAGCAAGUUAGAAGUGAAAUCCUAUAGCUCAACUAUAGUAAGCUUUUAAAACUGCUCAUCUUGAGGUAUGGAAGGGAAAGUGGAAUUCCUAGUGUAGCGGUGAAGUGCGCAGAUAUUAGGAGGAAUACCGGUGGCGAAGGCGACUUUCUGGCCAUAAACUGACGCUGAGGUACGAAAGCGUGGGUAGCAAACAGGAUUAGAUACCCUGGUAGUCCACGCCGUAAACGAUGAGUGUUAGGUGUCUGGAAUAAUCUGGGUGCCGCAGCUAACGCAAUAAACACUCCGCCUGGGGAGUACGCACGCAAGUGUGAAAC